Molecule: ribosomal RNA, 447 nt
Filed under: uncultured bacterium
Lineage: Bacteria
Description: bacterial SSU rRNA
Rfam family: Bacterial small subunit ribosomal RNA
Source: RNAcentral
UGGGGAAUAUUGGACAAUGGGCGCAAGCCUGAUCCAGCCAUGCCGCGUGAGUGAUGAAGGCCCUAGGGUUGUAAAGCUCUUUCACCGGUGAAGAUAAUGACGGUAACCGGAGAAGAAGCCCCGGCUAACUUCGUGCCAGCAGCCGCGGUAAUACGAAGGGGGCUAGCGUUGUUCGGAUUUACUGGGCGUAAAGCGCACGUAGGCGGACUUUUAAGUCAGGGGUGAAAUCCCGGGGCUCAACCCCGGAACUGCCUUUGAUACUGGAAGUCUUGAGUAUGGUAGAGGUGAGUGGAAUUCCGAGUGUAGAGGUGAAAUUCGUAGAUAUUCGGAGGAGCACCAGUGGCGAAGGCGGCUCACUGGACCAUUACUGACGCUGAGGUGCGAAAGCGUGGGGAGCAAACAGGAUUAGAUACCCAGGUAGUCCCUGAGCGGGCUGGCAAGGCGCAU